This 1214-nucleotide ribosomal RNA is filed under the name Cutibacterium acnes HL086PA1. RNAcentral describes it as "bacterial SSU rRNA". It matches the Rfam family "Bacterial small subunit ribosomal RNA", at positions 8 to 1230 of the family's 1533-position model. Lineage: Bacteria; Bacillati; Actinomycetota; Actinomycetes; Propionibacteriales; Propionibacteriaceae. The record is from RNAcentral.
AGAGUUUGAUCCUGGCUCAGGACGAACGCUGGCGGCGUGCUUAACACAUGCAAGUCGAACGGAAAGGCCCUGCUUUUGUGGGGUGCUCGAGUGGCGAACGGGUGAGUAACACGUGAGUAACCUGCCCUUGACUUUGGGAUAACUUCAGGAAACUGGGGCUAAUACCGGAUAGGAGCUCCUGCUGCAUGGUGGGGGUUGGAAAGUUUCGGCGGUUGGGGAUGGACUCGCGGCUUAUCAGCUUGUUGGUGGGGUAGUGGCUUACCAAGGCUUUGACGGGUAGCCGGCCUGAGAGGGUGACCGGCCACAUUGGGACUGAGAUACGGCCCAGACUCCUACGGGAGGCAGCAGUGGGGAAUAUUGCACAAUGGGCGGAAGCCUGAUGCAGCAACGCCGCGUGCGGGAUGACGGCCUUCGGGUUGUAAACCGCUUUCGCCUGUGACGAAGCGUGAGUGACGGUAAUGGGUAAAGAAGCACCGGCUAACUACGUGCCAGCAGCCGCGGUGAUACGUAGGGUGCGAGCGUUGUCCGGAUUUAUUGGGCGUAAAGGGCUCGUAGGUGGUUGAUCGCGUCGGAAGUGUAAUCUUGGGGCUUAACCCUGAGCGUGCUUUCGAUACGGGUUGACUUGAGGAAGGUAGGGGAGAAUGGAAUUCCUGGUGGAGCGGUGGAAUGCGCAGAUAUCAGGAGGAACACCAGUGGCGAAGGCGGUUCUCUGGGCCUUUCCUGACGCUGAGGAGCGAAAGCGUGGGGAGCGAACAGGCUUAGAUACCCUGGUAGUCCACGCUGUAAACGGUGGGUACUAGGUGUGGGGUCCAUUCCACGGGUUCCGUGCCGUAGCUAACGCUUUAAGUACCCCGCCUGGGGAGUACGGCCGCAAGGCUAAAACUCAAAGGAAUUGACGGGGCCCCGCACAAGCGGCGGAGCAUGCGGAUUAAUUCGAUGCAACGCGUAGAACCUUACCUGGGUUUGACAUGGAUCGGAAGCGCUCAGAGAUGGGUGUGCCUCUUUUGGGGUCGGUUCACAGGUGGUGCAUGGCUGUCGUCAGCUCGUGUCGUGAGAUGUUGGGUUAAGUCCCGCAACGAGCGCAACCCUUGUUCACUGUUGCCAGCACGUUAUGGUGGGGACUCAGUGGAGACCGCCGGGGUCAACUCGGAGGAAGGUGGGGAUGACGUCAAGUCAUCAUGCCCCUUAUGUCCAGGGCUUCACGCAUGCUACAA